This 429-nucleotide ribosomal RNA is filed under the name Pseudomonadota bacterium. RNAcentral's name for it is "Proteobacteria bacterium partial 16S ribosomal RNA". It matches the Rfam family "Bacterial small subunit ribosomal RNA", at positions 355 to 776 of the family's 1533-position model. Lineage: Bacteria; Pseudomonadati; Pseudomonadota. The record is from RNAcentral.
UGGGGAAUAUUGGACAAUGGGCGAAAGCCUGAUCCAGCCAUGCCGCGUGUGUGAAGAAGGUCUUCGGAUUGUAAAGCACUUUAAGUUGGGAGGAAGGGCAGUAAGCGAAUACCUUGCUGUUUUGACGUUACCGACAGAAUAAGCACCGGCUAACUCUGUGCCAGCAGCCGCGGUAAUACAGAGGGUGCAAGCGUUAAUCGGAAUUACUGGGCGUAAAGCGCGCGUAGGUGGUUCGUUAAGUUGAAUGUGAAAGCCCCGGGCUCAACCUGGGAACUGCGUCCAAAACUGGCGAGCUAGAGUAGGGCAGAGUGUGGUGGAAUUUCCUGUGUAGCGGCGAAAUGCGUAGAUAUAGGAAGGAACACCAGUGGCGAAGGCGACCACCUGGGCUCAUACUGACACUGAGGUGCGAAAGCGUGGGGAGCAAACAGG